RNAcentral lists this ribosomal RNA (302 nucleotides) under uncultured bacterium. RNAcentral's name for it is "partial 16S ribosomal RNA". It matches the Rfam family "Bacterial small subunit ribosomal RNA", at positions 508 to 807 of the family's 1533-position model. The record is from RNAcentral.
GCAGUAGCCGCGGUAAUACGGAGGGUGCAAGCGUUAAUCGGAAUUACUGGGCGUAAAGCGCACGCAGGCGGUCUGACAAGUCAGAUGUGAAAUCCCCGGGCUUAACCUGGGAACUGCAUUUGAAACUGUCAGGCUGGAGUCUUGUAGAGGGGGGUGGAAUUCCAGGUGUAGCGGUGAAAUGCGUAGAGAUCUGGAGGAAUACCGGUGGCGAAGGCGGCCCCCUGGACAAAGACUGACGCUCAGGUGCGAAAGCGUGGGGAGCAAACAGGAUUAGAUACCCCCGUAGUUCCUGUCUCUUAUAC